Molecule: long non-coding RNA, 425 nt
Filed under: Carica papaya (papaya)
Lineage: Eukaryota; Viridiplantae; Streptophyta; Magnoliopsida; Brassicales; Caricaceae
Description: long non-coding RNA (CPAP_LNC013270)
Source: RNAcentral
CUAUCGGUGUUCUCUUAUUGUGUAGGACCUUCUCCGUCCAGUCGAGAAUUUUGGUCUAGAAUUCCUCAUAAGUCAUAUAUGCUUCAACAUGAGUUUCUUGGUGCAGAAUACUAUGAGAAGGAUCAUGGUGGUAUCGUUUGAGCAUGGAAACAUGAAAAAUAUUGAUACAAACCUAUGAACUCUGGUGGUAGAGCAAGGCAGUAAGUCAUGGGUUUAACACAUUCCAAAAUCUUGAAAGGUCCCACAAAUCUAGGACUCAGUUUCCCGCCUUUUUUUUUAAACUGCAUUUUACCUUUAUAUGAGAAAACUUUAAGGAAGACAUGGUCACUUACAACAAAAUGCAGCAGUCUCCUAUUGUUGUCUGCAUAACUCUUCAUACGACUCUGAACAGUGGUAAAGUUCCGGCAGAUAAUGGCAACCUUGUC